UGGCGGCAGGCCUAACACAUGCAAGUCGAGCGGAAACGAGUUAUCUGAACCUUCGGGGAACGAUAACGGCGUCGAGCGGCGGACGGGUGAGUAAUGCCUAGGAAAUUGCCCUGAUGUGGGGGAUAACCAUUGGAAACGAUGGCUAAUACCGCAUGAUGCCUACGGGCCAAAGAGGGGGACCUUCGGGCCUCUCGCGUCAGGAUAUGCCUAGGUGGGAUUAGCUAGUUGGUGAGGUAAGGGCUCACCAAGGCGACGAUCCCUAGCUGGUCUGAGAGGAUGAUCAGCCACACUGGAACUGAGACACGGUCCAGACUCCUACGGGAGGCAGCAGUGGGGAAUAUUGCACAAUGGGCGCAAGCCUGAUGCAGCCAUGCCGCGUGUGUGAAGAAGGCCUUCGGGUUGUAAAGCACUUUCAGUCGUGAGGAAGGUGGUGUAGUUAAUAGCUGCAUUAUUUGACGUUAGCGACAGAAGAAGCACCGGCUAACUCCG
Molecule: ribosomal RNA, 489 nt
Filed under: marine sediment bacterium ISA-6340
Lineage: Bacteria
Also listed under: 1 other name
Description: bacterial SSU rRNA
Rfam family: Bacterial small subunit ribosomal RNA
Source: RNAcentral